UUUUGUAGCGCGGGGCCCGUGGGCAAGAGGCCCGGGAGACUGGGAUAGCAGAGGGGAAGUCGCCAAUGGCUACCUGGAUCGAGUCCCCUUUGUAUUUCGUUCACAUCACCCUUUUUUCUUCCACUGAGACACCGCAUUAUUUGGCUACCGUCGGUGGCGCGGCGGUGGGAGUGUAAGAGGAGGUCUGCUUCCGCUGCCACCAUUACCUGUUUCUUCGAUGGUUAAGCUUGAGUAAAGGAAACUUCUGGGAAGUGGCCAAAGACCCUUGACAUGCCCCCCGCAGAGGAAACAUCGCUGACGUCAUCUCUGCUUGUCCACUCUGUGCUUCAGUCAAGCCCAAGGCCAUCCCAGCGGCAAACUUUUGCUGCCCUCUCCCAGAAUGCCUGCUGAAACUGCCUCCUUGAGUCUGAAGGGGACCAGUGGAAACUUUGGGGGACAUAUUUUCGGGAGGCCAAGGCUCAAAUUGCCUGCCCAGGAACACAGUCAAGGAAGUGCUUUGGUCUAUUCUAGGCUUGUGGUCCAACACCAGAGACAGCUUCCUUGUAAACUCGAAGAGGUUGAUCAUGGGUCUAUUAUUUGCAUAGUGUAUCUUUGCAUCUGCAUUCACUUAAUAUCCAAAUGCUUAGAAAACUGCCAGCCAGUUUUGUGGCUCUAACAAGGCAGUGUCUUGUUCUUUGAAAGCCUCCGAGUAAAAACAGUUUAUAUGUGCUUUGGAAGUGCUUGUCUGAAAUCUAAAGUUAACCUCUGUUUGUAGUCACGUCUUCUGGAUUAGUUACAGUACCCUGAACACUGAGCAGAGGACAGAGGGAGUAGGGUUUUGUUUUUCUCAGUCUGGAAAAGCCCAUCCUUGCUCUGUCUGUAAGCAUAUCCUUCUGGGAGGAAAAUGUUAUCAGCAAUAUUCCGAUGACCUGGGAUGGGGCUGAGGAUCAGGAAGGGAGCCCAACAACCCGAGGAUCAUUUUUGUGUUUCUUUUGGUGUUAAAUUGCUGUCUUGUUGAUGGAGGAAGGUAAGAAGGGGUGGAGACCCGGCUCGGUGGAGUUGGGAGGAGCAUGGGCAGAGUCAUGUGGGCUUGGCUUCCUUUCCUUCGAUCUCACUUACCCAGUGAGCUAGAGAGAAUUUGCAACCACCUUCAACUAGAGAACAAUCUGCAAGCCAAUCUGCCCUGGGCACUGCCUCCGGGAACUUACAC
RNAcentral lists this long non-coding RNA (1189 nucleotides) under Sus scrofa (pig). Its description in RNAcentral is "lncRNA (ENSSSCG00060008963.1)". Lineage: Eukaryota; Metazoa; Chordata; Mammalia; Artiodactyla; Suidae. The record is from RNAcentral.